Molecule: unclassified non-coding RNA, 852 nt
Filed under: Minasia ramosa
Lineage: Eukaryota; Viridiplantae; Streptophyta; Magnoliopsida; Asterales; Asteraceae
Description: partial external transcribed spacer
Source: RNAcentral
GACGGUUGUGGGAAUGUUCGAUGGCCUUGGAAACACUACGGUGGGUUUAGUCGAUGACGGGUUAAGGUGUUCUUCCCCCCCUGGACACCGAGAGGGCAACACGCGAACCCGUUAUCGAAGCAGAGGUCCCGAUCGACAGUUCAGAUUUUGUAGGCAACGAUCGGCCGACCCGAUUGAUGGUAUUGGUUUUGUGGGAAAUGAUGGACCGACCCGACUGACGGUUUUGAUUUUGUUGGAAAUGAUAGACCGACUCGAUUGACGGUUUUGAUUUUGUGGGAAAUGAUGGACCGACCCGAUUGAUGAUUUUCAUUUUGUGGGAAACUAUGUAUCGACCCGAUUGACGGUUUUGAUUUUCGCAUCGCGCGGUGCUUUCCUUGGAUCCAACUUCGGCUAAAGGUUGCAUUCUUGGCCUUUUUGCUAGGAUGUGGCUAUUAGUUGGGUGGUUUUAGGGAUUGUCGAUCGUAAAGGUGCAUGAGUUGUGUUUGGUUUGUUACGUGUCGUUGGAUGUCUGUUUAUGCAGCAACGUCGACACGUGCAGACCUCUUCAUCUAUUGUGAAAGCGUGCUUUGCUUUUGCAUGUUGUGGGUUUCUAGCGUUGUGUUCCUGAAUUGUGGCAUUUUAUGGUUUGAACGACGUGUCUUUAAUCAUGUCACACAUAUGUGUGCCAAUGUAAAAAGGCAUGAUGCUAUCUCUUCGAUCCAUUUCGUCUUCGUCUUUGGCAUUGAUGUUCUGGCCUGUUGAGAAAGCUGGUCUCAUGGAUGUGGAGCUUGACUCGGUGAUUUGGUUUUAUUAACCAUUUUGGUUGCCAUUACUAGACGUUUUUGCCUCUCCUUCAUAUGACUGUCCAUUGUG